AUUGAACGCUGGCGGCAUGCCUUACACAUGCAAGUCGAACGGCAGCACGGGAGCAAUCCUGGUGGCGAGUGGCGAACGGGUGAGUAAAGUAUCGGAACGUGCCCAGUCGUGGGGGAUAACGUAGCGAAAGUUACGCUAAUACCGCAUACGAUCUAUGGAUGAAAGCGGGGGAUCGCAAGACCUCGCGCGAUUGGAGCGGCAUAUAUGAGAUUAGGUAGUUGGUGGGGUAAAGGCUCACCAAGCCGACGAUCUGUAGCUGGUCUGAGAGGACGACCAGCCACACUGGGACUGAGACACGGCCCAGACUCCUACGGGAGGCAGCAGUGGGGAAUUUUGGACAAUGGGCGAAAGCCUGAUCCAGCCAUGCCGCGUGCAGGAUGAAGGCCUUCGGGUUGUAAACUGCUUUUGUACGGAACGAAAAGGUUUGGCCUAAUAAGCUGAGCUCAUGACGGUACCGUAAGAAUAAGCACCGGCUAACUACGUGCCAGCUGCCGCCGUAA
RNAcentral lists this ribosomal RNA (500 nucleotides) under uncultured bacterium. RNAcentral's name for it is "partial 16S ribosomal RNA". It matches the Rfam family "Bacterial small subunit ribosomal RNA", at positions 30 to 523 of the family's 1533-position model. The record is from RNAcentral.